This 491-nucleotide ribosomal RNA is filed under the name uncultured bacterium. Its description in RNAcentral is "partial 16S ribosomal RNA". It matches the Rfam family "Bacterial small subunit ribosomal RNA", at positions 29 to 506 of the family's 1533-position model. The record is from RNAcentral.
AGUGAACGCUGGCGGUAGGCCUAACACAUGCAAGUCGAACGGCAGCACAGUAAGAGCUUGCUCUUACGGGUGGCGAGUGGCGGACGGGUGAGGAAUACAUCGGAAUCUACUUUUUCGUGGGGGAUAACGUAGGGAAACUUACGCUAAUACCGCAUACGACCUACGGGUGAAAGCAGGGGAUCUUCGGACCUUGCGCGAUUGAAUGAGCCGAUGUCGGAUUAGCUAGUUGGCGGGGUAAAGGCCCACCAAGGCGACGAUCCGUAGCUGGUCUGAGAGGAUGAUCAGCCACACUGGAACUGAGACACGGUCCAGACUCCUACGGAAGGCAGCAGUGGGGAAUAUUGGACAGUGGGCGCAAGCCUGAUCCAGCCAUACCGCGUGGGUGAAGAAGGCCUUCGGGUUGUAAAGCCCUUUUGUUGGGAAAGAAAAGCAGCAGGUUAAUACCCCGCUGUUCUGACGGUACCCAAAGAAUAAGCACCGGCUAACUUCGU